AAUGCAGUAACUUAAAACAAUUUUCAAUAGACAUAAGGGAUAUCAAGACUCUAGCAAUACUGAUCUCAGCAUCAAUUUACCUCCUAAUCAUAGGAUGUGUCCGUAUCUUCGUACUAAUAAAUAGAGUGUCAAAAGAAAUGAAACUUAGAGCAGAGUUGAUGAGCCAGUUAGAUGCAAGAUGAAAAGUGGAGGCAUCAAGCAAUUAUUAAAGCCAAUUUCUAGUGACAUGAGUGCAUUUGUUCAUUUUACAAUUUGGAGUACCUUGCAAUCGGCUACAUCAUUCUUCGGAGAUGGUGUGGGAGUGCAUGUGGAGGGAAUUUUUCACUUAAUCAGAAAGACACUUGGUCUGCUCCUAAAGCAAAGUUCAAGCGACAAUAAAGCCAGGGAAAAAAUUCUCCAUGAAAGAUAACAAAAUGAUCAUGUGCUUUGAAGUUGAGGAUUCUGGUUGUGGAAUUUAUCCAAGUACAUUGGAACCUGUAUUUGAAUGAUUCGAGCAAGCUGAUCCUUUGACAACUCGCUUGUAAGAAGUUUUCACAUCAUUGUCAUAUAUGGGUAAACUUUUUUAGUUAAAUAGCAGAAUACAUGCAUGAAUGAAUGAAUUUACUUCCUGCACACCUUAGAGCUAGUUAGUACCUGAAAAAAGAAAUCUCAUUGUUUCACUAUGCUCAUACUCGGGCAUGGUGGGACUAGCCUUGGACUAUGCAUUGUAUGUACCCUGGUUAGUUCAAAUUUUUUUUUCCUAUUUCAAAAGAAUAAAUUUCAAGAGUUGACAUUUUGAAUUCGCAAGAAAAACAUUUCAAUGUUUAUGUGGCUUGUAAAAAGAAUUAAACUUUUAUCCAAUAGUAAUGAAAAGUAAAAGAUAUAAUGAAUCUAGUACCUAUAAUGGCAAAUGUCAAACCACUGAUUGUCUUUUUUCAUUUACUCUAUUAAGUAUUUUUGUAUAGGAAUUUGCAUGCAAAAGUUGAAACAUUGACUAUAAGGCCUAAUACAAACCUAGUAAGGCAAUAAAAGCAUCAGAGUGCCUGGCCAUCUCUUCUUUCCUUUGAUGCAUACCUACAAUAAUCUUCACUUCUCCUAUUGUUUCUCCAGUUAUCAGUGACAAAAAAAUCAUAUAAAAAAGUUCAAUGUAUUAAAGCCCUCGCUAUGUGUGCAGUUCAA
Molecule: long non-coding RNA, 1158 nt
Organism: Capsicum annuum
Lineage: Eukaryota; Viridiplantae; Streptophyta; Magnoliopsida; Solanales; Solanaceae
Exons: 3
Source: RefSeq, a predicted model, not a curated record